UGUAAUCACAGGAUCUUUUCAAAUCUGUUGCACGGGCCAUCAGCCAGCAAGUGCGCCUGACCACUAGGGGAUUGCCCACCUCAGGGAAGGAGGAGGCAAAACGACUGGUGAGGGAGUUUAUUGAUGAGCAUCCGAAGGUCACUUCUGAAGCUGACCUCAAAGGCUGGCCAUAGUGGGCACAUGUUUUUGUAUUUUUACAUAUCUAUGAGGAAAAGAAAGAUAAAAGAAAUGACGUAUCUCCUAUUCCUACGUAUAGCCAUAGUCUGCAUUAUGAGCUCAUAAAAAACAAAGUGUCUGGUCAUGCUGGCUUUGGUGCUCAAUUUUUCAGGGAGACAUCACAGUUAUGGGAAUGGAAAGCUUGGUCUGAGAUCUUGCAUACAGAAAAAAACUUUGAUGAACUGGGUACAGGUGACACUGACAGUUUGUUGAGAAUAUGGUUCAAUAUGCAUUAUGCAGGAAAAGUGUUACUGACUGUAGGGAUUACAGAGAGGCA
This is a long non-coding RNA of Aplysia californica (California sea hare), 493 nucleotides long. RefSeq lists it as uncharacterized. NCBI's taxonomy places the organism in Eukaryota, Metazoa, Mollusca, Gastropoda, Aplysiida, Aplysiidae. The transcript is spliced from 2 exons. The record is from RefSeq and is a predicted model, not a curated record.